RNAcentral lists this ribosomal RNA (253 nucleotides) under uncultured bacterium. Its description in RNAcentral is "partial 16S ribosomal RNA". It matches the Rfam family "Bacterial small subunit ribosomal RNA", at positions 524 to 776 of the family's 1533-position model. The record is from RNAcentral.
UACGUAGGGUGCGAGCGUUAAUCGGAAUUACUGGGCGUAAAGCGUGCGCAGGCGGUUCGUUGUGUCGGCGGGGAAAGCCCCGGGCUUAACCUGGGAAUGGCCGUUGAAACUGGCGAACUGGAGUGUGGCAGAGGGGGGUGGAAUUCCGCGUGUAGCAGUGAAAUGCGUAGAGAUGCGGAGGAACACCGAUGGCGAAGGCAGCCCCCUGGGCUAACACUGACGCUCAGGCACGAAAGCGUGGGGAGCAAAUAGG